CCUACGGGUGGCAGCAGUGGGGAAUAUUGGUCAAUGGGCGGAAGCCUGAACCAGCCAAGUCGCGUGAGGGAUUAAGGCCCUGCGGGUCGUAAACCUCUUUUGCCGGGGAGCAGUGGUCCGGACCCGUCCGGACCGGGAGAGUACCCGGAGAAAAAGCAUCGGCGAACUCCGUGCCAGCAGCCGCGGUAAUACGGAGGAUGGGAGCGUUAUCCGGAUUGAUUGGGUUAAAAGGGUGCGCAGGCGGAAGAUCAAGCCAGCGGGAAAAUUGAGGGGCUCAACCUCGUCGAGCCGUUGAAACUGGUUUUCUGGAGUGUGUGAGAAGUAUGCGGAAUGCGUGGUGUAGCGGUGAAAUGCAUAGAUAUCACGAAGAACUCCGAUUGCGAAGGCAGCAUACCGGCGCUCAACUGACGCUCAUGAACGAAAGUGUGGGUAUCGAACAGGAUUAGAUACCCCGGUAGUC
RNAcentral lists this ribosomal RNA (460 nucleotides) under uncultured bacterium. RNAcentral's name for it is "partial 16S ribosomal RNA". It matches the Rfam family "Bacterial small subunit ribosomal RNA", at positions 338 to 795 of the family's 1533-position model. The record is from RNAcentral.